UCUAUUCACUACUCUUAUGUAGGGAGCCUUUAUGUCACGGAAUUUUCAAAGCUGUGUUUUUCCACUGCCCUGAAGAAGUGCCCGCCUCCUUUUCCGGGCAGCAGCUGGAGUAGAAGCCUUCCAAGCUGCGGAAACAGAUGUCAUCUCCAGGCUGCGCAGACUCCUCGCUUCGCUCAAAGUAAACACGGUAUCUAAGAAGAAGCAUAUCCCGUGGCUGUAGUGAGCAAUUUCAUCAGCCUGUUUUCUACACCUAGAAGUUUGAACUUCAAAUACCCUUUUUGGAUUUCAUAUUUAUCCUCUCUGUGCUCUCCGGAUCAGCCACAGAGGACGGUUCGCCGACUGUGACACCUAAGGGCGGACACCCGGUUGGGUUCUGAGGACAGUGACGCUGAGAGAGCUCCAUGGCUAUUGGAACAGAAACACCAGCCUGUCUCACUAUGGAAUCCAGAGUUCUUUUUGCAUUUAUUAUAACACUUUUUGGGUAGGAUGAAUUACACGGUUACACUGACAAUCACGGCUUCAAUGUGUUUCUUUACUAAAGAUUACGAGCACUUUGGAAAUAUAAAACAGAUGCACAGGUUUCUAAUCUGUCAUUUGGGAGCUAAACAGCUGAAGAAACUGUAGAGGAGUUUGGAACACAACAGGAAUGUACUGUACAUUUACAACAAGCGAAAAGGAACAAGUCCUUUGGGGCUGUGGAUGCUGAAUCCGGCCUGACGCGCAGAGGCAAGAUGAACAGGACACGUGGCCGGGCCUGGCCACCAGUACAAUCUCUGCUCCAUCAGGGAGGAACUCCACAGGUCCAGUGUACUCGGUGCUGUUUGCUUCAUUUCCUCCUUUAAAUUCCUAACAACACUCCUAAGAUUCAAAUCUGCCGUUGGUCAUUCUACUUCUAAAUCCCUAAACAGCCACCUUGACCACACUCUAUGUACGGGAAAUCAGCCUUUUUGGAAAAUGUUCUCUCUUAUUCCAACAACCUUAGGUACCUUGGGAUUCUGAGCUUGAGAUUAACAGGCCCUCCUGAAAAUGAUGCCAGUGUUUAUUUGGUCAGUAUGCGUCAUCAUUGCUCCGUAAAAUUUCUAAAAAUGUUACUUGUCAAACUCACAGCCAGUGUGUCUUGAUGGCAAAAGGCAAUUUAAAAUGGAUUUUUACCUUACACAAGAAAUGUGUUUCGGGAGCGCGGUGAGGAGGG
Long non-coding RNA from Heterocephalus glaber (naked mole-rat), 1192 nucleotides. Lineage: Eukaryota; Metazoa; Chordata; Mammalia; Rodentia; Bathyergidae. The record is from Ensembl.